GAUGAAGAACGUAGCGAAAUGCGAUACUUGGUGUGAAUUGCAGAAUCCCGUGAACCAUCGAGUCUUUGAACGCAAGUUGCGCCCGAAGCCGUCAGGCCGAGGGCACGCCUGCCUGGGCGUCACACGCCGUUGCCCCCCCGCGCCCCGCACCCAACGCUUUGGGAGCGACCGCGGGGCGGGCUGAUGAUGGCCUCCCGUGCGCUCCGCCGCGCGGUUGGCCCAAAUACCGAGUCCCCGGCGACGUGCGCCACGACGAUCGGUGGUUGAGAGACCUCUGUCGCAAGUCGUGCGCGCCCGUCGCGUCACGCGGGCUCGCAUAGCGCCCCGCGCCGCACCCGGUGCGGAGCUUUCAACGCGACCCCAGGUCAGGCGGGGUUACCCGCUGAAUUUAAGCAUAUCAAUAAGCGGAGGA
RNAcentral lists this unclassified non-coding RNA (412 nucleotides) under soil metagenome. Its description in RNAcentral is "partial contains 5.8S ribosomal RNA, internal transcribed spacer 2, and large subunit ribosomal RNA". The stretch from base 1 to 122 matches the Rfam family "5.8S ribosomal RNA", at positions 35 to 154 of the family's 154-position model. The record is from RNAcentral.